GACUCGCUAGCUCAGUUGGUAGAGCAUCGCCCUUUUAAGGCGGGGGUCUUGGGUUCGAGCCCCAAGCGGGUUACCA
This 76-nucleotide transfer RNA is filed under the name Bacteroidaceae bacterium. RNAcentral describes it as "tRNA-Lys". It matches the Rfam family "tRNA". From Rfam's summary of the family: Transfer RNA (tRNA) molecules are approximately 80 nucleotides in length. Their secondary structure includes four short double-helical elements and three loops (D, anti-codon, and T loops). Further hydrogen bonds mediate the characteristic L-shaped molecular structure. tRNAs have two regions of fundamental functional importance: the anti-codon, which is responsible for specific mRNA codon recognition, and the 3' end, to which the tRNAs corresponding amino acid is attached (by aminoacyl-tRNA synthetases). tRNAs cope with the degeneracy of the genetic code in two manners: having more than one tRNA (with a specific anti-codon) for a particular amino acid; and 'wobble' base-pairing, i.e. permitting non-standard base-pairing at the 3rd anti-codon position. Lineage: Bacteria; Pseudomonadati; Bacteroidota; Bacteroidia; Bacteroidales; Bacteroidaceae. The record is from RNAcentral.